UUAGUUAAAGCCAAAGAGAGGCAUACCACUGUUAAUGGUACGAUUGAAUUUAUAUUCUAACUAAG
Molecule: transfer RNA, 65 nt
Filed under: Heterocarpus sibogae
Lineage: Eukaryota; Metazoa; Arthropoda; Malacostraca; Decapoda; Pandalidae
Description: tRNA-Asn
Source: RNAcentral